ACAAUUGUAGUUUAAUGGUAGAACAUCGGUCUCCAAAACCGAAGGUGGGGGUUCAAAUCCCUCCGAUUGUGCAA
This 74-nucleotide transfer RNA is filed under the name bacterium. RNAcentral's name for it is "tRNA-Trp". It matches the Rfam family "tRNA". Rfam says of the family: Transfer RNA (tRNA) molecules are approximately 80 nucleotides in length. Their secondary structure includes four short double-helical elements and three loops (D, anti-codon, and T loops). The record is from RNAcentral.